This 62-nucleotide ribosomal RNA is filed under the name Enterococcus faecium. Lineage: Bacteria; Bacillati; Bacillota; Bacilli; Lactobacillales; Enterococcaceae. The record is from RNAcentral.
UUCGGUGGUCAUAGCGUUGGGGAAACGCCCGGUUCCAUUCCGAACCCGGUAGCUAAGCUCAA